Molecule: transfer RNA, 65 nt
Filed under: Heteropteryx dilatata (New Guinea walking stick)
Lineage: Eukaryota; Metazoa; Arthropoda; Insecta; Phasmatodea; Heteropterygidae
Description: tRNA-Arg
Source: RNAcentral
AAAUAAGAAGCUAUAUAUGCUUUUAGUUUCGACCUAAAGAUUGAUAAUAAACUUAUCCUUAUUUA